CCCUAUGGGGUGCAGCCGGCGGAAUGAUAAGUCAGUGGUGAAAUCCUACGGCUCAACUGUAGAACUGCCAUUGAUACUGUUGUUCUUGAGUACACUUGGAGUGGGCGGAAUGUGUCAUGUAGCGGUGAAAUGCUUAGAUAUGACACAGAACACCGAUCGCGAAGGCAGCUCACUAAGUUGUAACUGACGCUCAGGCACGAAAGCGUGGGGAUCAAACA
Molecule: ribosomal RNA, 218 nt
Filed under: uncultured prokaryote
Description: partial 16S ribosomal RNA
Rfam family: Bacterial small subunit ribosomal RNA
Source: RNAcentral